AGAGUUUGAUCCUGGCUCAGAUUGAACGCUGGCGGCAGGCCUAACACAUGCAAGUCGAGCGGUAACAGAAAGUAGCUUGCUACUUUGCUGACGAGCGGCGGACGGGUGAGUAAUGCUUGGGAACAUGCCUUGAGGUGGGGGACAACAGUUGGAAACGACUGCUAAUACCGCAUAAUGUCUACGGACCAAAGGGGGCUUCGGCUCUCGCCUUUAGAUUGGCCCAAGUGGGAUUAGCUAGUUGGUGAGGUAAUGGCUCACCAAGGCGACGAUCCCUAGCUGGUUUGAGAGGAUGAUCAGCCACACUGGGACUGAGACACGGCCCAGACUCCUACGGGAGGCAGCAGUGGGGAAUAUUGCACAAUGGGCGCAAGCCUGAUGCAGCCAUGCCGCGUGUGUGAAGAAGGCCUUCGGGUUGUAAAGCACUUUCAGUCAGGAGGAAAGGUUAGUAGUUAAUACCUGCUAGCUGUGACGUUACUGACAGAAGAAGCACCGGCUAACUCCGUGCCAGCAGCCGCGGUAAUACGGAGGGUGCGAGCGUUAAUCGGAAUUACUGGGCGUAAAGCGUACGCAGGCGGUUUGUUAAGCGAGAUGUGAAAGCCCCGGGCUCAACCUGGGAACUGCAUUUCGAACUGGCAAACUAGAGUGUGAUAGAGGGUGGUAGAAUUUC
This 667-nucleotide ribosomal RNA is filed under the name uncultured Pseudoalteromonas sp. RNAcentral's name for it is "bacterial SSU rRNA". It matches the Rfam family "Bacterial small subunit ribosomal RNA", at positions 8 to 670 of the family's 1533-position model. The record is from RNAcentral. Lineage: Bacteria; Pseudomonadati; Pseudomonadota; Gammaproteobacteria; Alteromonadales; Pseudoalteromonadaceae.